This 368-nucleotide ribosomal RNA is filed under the name uncultured organism. RNAcentral describes it as "bacterial SSU rRNA". It matches the Rfam family "Bacterial small subunit ribosomal RNA", at positions 526 to 896 of the family's 1533-position model. The record is from RNAcentral.
CGGAGGGUGCAAGCGUUGUCCGGAUUUAUUGGGUUUAAAGGGUGCGUAGGCGGCUUUUUAAGUCAGUGGUGAAAUCCUUCAGCUUAACUGGAGAAUUGCCAUUGAUACUGGAAAGCUUGAGUACAGACGAGGUAGGCGGAAUUUAUGGUGUAGCGGUGAAAUGCUUAGAUACUAUAAAGAACACCGAUUGCGAAGGCAGCUUACUAGGCUGUAACUGACGCUGAGGCACGAAAGUGUGGGGAUCAAACAGGAUUAGAUACCCUGGUAGUCCACACUGUAAACGAUGAUUACUCGAUGUGUGCGAUAGACAGUACGCGUCCAAGCGAAAGCGUUAAGUAAUCCACCUGGGGAGUACGAUCGCAAGAUUG